UCAUCGUAGGGUUAGUCGGGACCUAAGUCGAGUCCGAAAGGGGUAGACGAUGGCAAAUAGGUUAAUAUUCCUAUACCGACGGUUGUUUGUUUGAAUGAUGGGGGGACGCAUAGAGUUAAUCGAGCUCACUGAUGGAACAGUGGGUCGAAGGACGUAGGUCGAGAAGUAGGCAAAUCCGCUUCUCACGAGACCGAGAUCUUACAGGCUCUUCAAUGCUUUCGAGCAGCGAGGAGAAUCGAUGAUACUGUCGUGCCGAGAAAAGCCUCUAUAUGAGAACAACCGUUGCCCGUACCGUAAACCGACACAGGUGGGUGAGAUGAGUAUUCUAAGGCGCGUGGAAGAACCCUGGUUAAGGAACUCUGCAAACUAGCACCGUAUCUUCGGUAGAAGGUGUGCCUACUUUGGUAUAGAGAUUUACUCUCGAAGGCUAAAGAGGUUGCAACAAAGAGUCCCUCCCGA
Molecule: ribosomal RNA, 459 nt
Filed under: uncultured Campylobacterota bacterium
Lineage: Bacteria; Pseudomonadati; Campylobacterota
Description: bacterial LSU rRNA
Rfam family: Bacterial large subunit ribosomal RNA
Source: RNAcentral